UGGAUUGUGUUAUCCAGUUAUCUUUAGAAUCGAGCUCUUUAUCAUUUGAAUAAUAGUUGCAUAGUAACACAGUAGCCAUGCAAGAACGAGCAGAAUUAACAUUGUUGAAUGAAGAUGAUUUCAUUCUGAAGUCAAUAAUAAGACAGUAGUAUUUUCUAAGAUUGCAGCGACAAUAGAGCGACGAGGAUUGUUGUGAAACGAUUAAAUGAAUGUGAAAAAUAUUGAUAUUUCGGAGUUGAAAAAUCAUAAAUUUAGUUUUUAUUCCUCCUUCUAAAUCUGUGGUGCAAAUGAGAUACCGAAGGCGCUUCCUUCGGCCCUGUUUAUACCGCUUCGUUUACUCCCGUCAUGGCCCUUUCCGUUAGCUAAGGAGGGCAAUGUAGCCCCCCGUCGACCUUUGCCGCAGAACCCUACAAUGUCGUACCAUGACGAGAAGUUGUGUGAUUCCGCCAACGUAAACAAACGACGUUAUCACAACAAGGAUGAAUGGAUCGUAUAUCCGGAUGAUAUACGCAUUUCUCGGAGCUAUGUUUUUUUUUGUUUAAUUUAGUAGGGCAACGCGUAUGUUUUUAGAUGGCAGAAUUGUUCGCCAUUUAGAUACCAUCAACUGGAAAAAAGAAGAAUAACAAUCAAAAUAUGUUCAAAAACCCCGGCCUAUCCAACUACGUAGCAAAAAUAUAACUCGUCACAGUUUGUAUUUUGUACUAACAUCGUGCACUAUUUUGAGGACAUCGUAUACCGGCAUCUACAACAUCUUAGCAAUGAAAGACAAGAAUCAGAGCAUCGAAAGAAGGCCCAGUACUGAAUGGUCGUCGACCCUGAGCGACUCGAGGUUCAAGAGGAAGCUGAACAUGAAGAUCAUGGGAAAAGUCUUUACAAAGCUGCGUUCGCUUGGUUGGGAGGUUGAUGCAACCGGCCAAACAGUGAAAUAGUACUUGGGAAACAUGAGCAAACAUAUCAGGGAGCAGAAAUCGCGUCCACAGGCUUCGCAGCGGUUACUCUCUAUGGAGGCAGUUCAUCAGCAACUUCCGGAGGGGUGUUAUUUCAAGUGAUCAGGAUCGCUGUUCAUCCUAACUACGUUCCGAAUAGUGGUGUAUCAGAUUUCAAUAUUGCUGGCCUUGCUGUGCCAACGAAUGCCUUCAGAGGAAAGCAAUAUAUUGCAUCGAUACCGCUUGCACCAGAUGGAGUAACAAUUGGAACUAAAUGCUCCGUGUUCCGGUGGUGCAGAUCAAUUGCCAAUCUCCCAGCAACUGCUACUGUAUUACGUUCUGCUGACAUGUACAUAACAUCGGAUGCUACCUGUGCUAGAGUUUGGGCUACAUUUGGAGUGAAAAUUACUUCAAACAUGCUCUGUGCUAAGGGCGGCAAAGCAGCGGAUUUAUGCCCUGGUGAUUAUGGCAAUGCCCUGGAGUGGUGCGGUAGACUGACUGGAGUUGCGAUCCUAGUUACUUCGUGUGGUAAUGGCCGGGACGCAGUAUAUACAAAAAUAACGGCUCCUAGUGUUCGCAGCUUCAUUCGCAUCCAAACUGGUGUAUGAUGCAGAUCGUGUGUACGGUAACUACUAGUAUGAUUUUGUAUGUUGCUAAAUAUUCAUGCCUGUCUUUGGAAACCUUUUGAAUAAAAAUUAAAGUCUGU
Long non-coding RNA from Anopheles merus, 1632 nucleotides. RefSeq lists it as uncharacterized. The record is from RefSeq and is a predicted model, not a curated record. The transcript has 3 exons. Lineage: Eukaryota; Metazoa; Arthropoda; Insecta; Diptera; Culicidae.